GGUCCUCCGUUUCCCAGGAGGAAGAAAAAAAGAAAAAUGGAGUCGCAGCCGGCUUCGGCAGGUGUUGGGGCCAGGCGUGCGAGACGCCGAGGCCGCGGGGACUUCCCCACCUGCUUCCAACCGACGAAAGCGUGAAGUGAGGCGCGCCCAGUCCCACCCUGCCCAGACUUUCUUGCAAAAAUGCCUGUUUGGGAUUCCUCAGAGUACAGACAAAAAGGAAGGCUUGAUCAGCAUGUGGUGGAUCUGAAGAUUCAAAGAGGUGCCACAGCUCAAAAGUAGACAUUUUGGCAAAUGUGAAGAAGUGAGAUUCAAUGAAGAUGAUAAGAAAUGAAAGGUGUUACCAAAAUUACACAAGUAUUUCUGUCAUUUUCCUACUAAAUUACAUGAAGGGGGUUGUCUGCUUAUGAGCUGCACCACCGAGCAGCAUGCCUAUCAGCGAGAAGGUGCCUGACAAUUCUCAGUUGAAAUGUCCUGACCAAGUUCCCCCAGAAAUUUAUGACUAAUAACAAAAGGGAAAAGCUACCCUCACAAGGAGAUGUCCAGUUGACACUAUCUCAACCAAAAUUAUUAAACAUAGCAUCAGCAAUCGUGGGACAAACAGACGCAAACAUCUCCUGGUGUGAGGCGAGGAAAGAAGACGACUUUACCAUGUGAACCCCUGUGGCUUCCUCAGAGACUGUCUGCUCUGGCACAUGCUCCUCCAGGUCUU
Molecule: long non-coding RNA, 709 nt
Filed under: Homo sapiens (human)
Lineage: Eukaryota; Metazoa; Chordata; Mammalia; Primates; Hominidae
Description: HSALNT0331279
Source: RNAcentral